Molecule: ribosomal RNA, 253 nt
Filed under: uncultured bacterium
Lineage: Bacteria
Description: partial 16S ribosomal RNA
Rfam family: Bacterial small subunit ribosomal RNA
Source: RNAcentral
UACAGAGGGGGCAAGCGUUGUUCGGAAUUACUGGGCGUAAAGGGCGCGUAGGCGGCGACCCAAGUCAGAUGUGAAAGUCCUGGGCUUAACCUGGGGACUGCAUUUGAUACUGGGUUGCUUGAAUUCGGGAGAGGAUAGCGGAAUUCCCAGUGUAGAGGUGAAAUUCGUAGAUAUUGGGAAGAACACCGGUGGCGAAGGCGGCUAUCUGGACCGACAUUGACGCUGAGGCGCGAAAGCUAGGGGAGCAAACGGG